RNAcentral lists this ribosomal RNA (2454 nucleotides) under human gut metagenome. RNAcentral's name for it is "bacterial LSU rRNA". It matches the Rfam family "Bacterial large subunit ribosomal RNA", at positions 3 to 2485 of the family's 2925-position model. The record is from RNAcentral.
UCAAGCGAACAAGAGCGCAGGGUGGAUGCCAGGGCACUGAUUGCCGAAGAAGGACGCGAUAAGCUGCGAAAAGCUUCGGGGAGCCGCAAGUAGGCGAUGAUCCGGAGAUCUCCGAAUGGGGGAACCCGGCUGGGGUAAUGCCCAGUCACUCCCGGCUGAAUCAAAUAGGUCGGGCAGAGGGCACCCGGGGAAGUGAAACAUCUAAGUACCCGGAGGAAAAGAAAGAAAACUCGAUUCCCUUAGUAGUGGCGAGCGAAGAGGGAAGAGGCCAAACCGAGGGUCUGCGGACGCUCGGGGUUGAGGAGCGGCGAUAUAUGACGAUAGGUGAGCCGAAGGACCUGGAAAGGUCCGUCAGAGAGGGUGACAAUCCCGUAGGCGAAGCCGACAAUAGUUAGCCGGAUCCAGAGUACCGCGGGACACGUGAAAUCCUGUGGGAAGCAGGGGGGACCACCCCCCAAGCCUAAAGACGAUCAGUGACCGAUAGCGCAUAGUACCGUGAGGGAAAGGUGAAAAGAACCCCGGGAGGGGAGUGAAAGAGAACCUGAAACCCUGCGUUUACAAGCAGAAGAAGAACAAUUAAAGUUCGACUUCGUACUUUUUGUAGAACGGACCGGCGAGUUACGUUAUGCAGCGAGGUUAAGAUCUUCAGGAUCGGAGCCGAAGCGAGAGCGAGUCUGAACAGGGCGAUGUAGUUGCAUGACGUAGACCCGAAACCGGGCGACCUAUCCAUGGGCAGGUUGAAGUGAAGGUAAAGCUUCAUGGAGGACCGAACCAGACGUCCGCUGAAAAGGGCGGGGAUGACCUGUGGAUAGCGGAGAAAUUCCAAUCGAGCUCGGAUAUAGCUGGUUCUCCUCGAAAUAGCUUUAGGGCUAGCCUGAGGUUAGUCUUUCGGGGGUAGAGCACUGAAUAGGCUAGGGGGUAUCAAAGCUUACCGAACCUUAUCAAACUUCGAAUACCGAAAAGAUGAUGCCUUGGAGUCAGACUGCGAGUUAUAAGAUCCGUAGUCAAAAGGGAAACAGCCCAGAUCGACAGCUAAGGUCCCAGAGUGUGUGUUAAGUGGGAAAGGAUGUGCAAUUGCAUAGACAACCAGGAUGUUGGCUUAGAAGCAGCCACGCAUUCAAAGAGUGCGUAAUAGCUCACUGGUCGAGUGAUUGUGCGCCGAAGAUGUAACGGGGCUAAAACACACCACCGAAGCUUCGGGUUCACGCAAGUGAGCGGUAGAGGAGCAUAGUGCAUUGGCAGAAGCGGUACCGUGAGGAGCCGUGGACGAUGCAGUAGAGAGAAUGCCGGUAUGAGUAACGCGAUGCAGGCGAGAAACCUGCACGUCGAAAGCCCAAGGUUUCCUGGGGAAGGUUCAUCCGCCCAGGGUAAGUCGGGGCCUAAGCCGAGGACAACAGUCGUAGGCGAUGGAUAACUGGUGGAGAUUCCAGUACCACCUUUAUGAGCGACGCGCUGACACAGAAGGAUAGCAUGAGCCGGAUGAUGGUAGAACCGGUCUAAGCGGGGGGCUUAAUCAGUAGUGAAGUACGCUGAGGUUUGGCUGACCGUGAUGGGGAUCGAAAUAAAGUAGAGAAGCAUGUGAAUUCAGGCUGGCAAGAAAAGGCGCUAGUAAUUGUAAGGGUGCCCGUACCGCAAACCGACGCAGGUGGGCGAGGAGAAAAUCCUAAGACGAACGAGAGAACCCUUGUUAAGGAACUCGGCAAAAUGACCCCGUAACUUCGGGAGAAGGGGUGCCUCGAAAGAGGUCGCAGAGAAUCGGCCCAAGCGACUGUUUAGCAAAAACACAGGUUUGUGCGAAAGCGAAAGCUGACGUAUACGAGCUGACGCCUGCCCGGUGCCGGAAGGUUAAGAGGAGUUGUCAUCGCAAGAGAAGCAGCGAAUCGAAGCCCCGGUAAACGGCGGCCGUAACUAUAACGGUCCUAAGGUAGCGAAAUUCCUUGUCGGGUAAGUUCCGACCCGCACGAAUGGCGUAACGACUUGGGCGCUGUCUCAACAAGGGACUCGGUGAAAUUGAAGUAUGGGUGAAGAUGCCCAUUACCCGCGACUGGACGGAAAGACCCCGUAGAGCUUUACUGUAGCUUAUCAUUGAGAAUUGGUAACGGAUGUACAGGAUAGGUGGGAGGCUAGGAAACAUUGUCGUCAGAUGAUGCGGAGCCGCCGUUGGGAUACCACUCUUCUGUUACUGAUUUUCUAACAACUGGCAGUGAUCCUGAAGAUGGACAGUGAUAGGUGGGCAGUUUGACUGGGGCGGUCGCCUCCCAAAGCGUAACGGAGGCGCCCAAAGGUUCCCUCAGAAUGGAUGGAAAUCAUUCGAAGAGUGCAAUGGCAGAAGGGAGCCUGACUGCGAGACACACGAGUCGGGCAGAGACGAAAGUCGGGCAUAGUGAUCAGGUGACAUCGAGUGGAAGAGUCAUCGCUCAACGGAUAAAAGCUACCUCGGGGAUAACAGGCUGA